This 253-nucleotide unclassified non-coding RNA is filed under the name uncultured Legionellaceae bacterium. Its description in RNAcentral is "contains 16S-23S intergenic spacer region". It matches the Rfam family "Bacterial small subunit ribosomal RNA", at positions 524 to 776 of the family's 1533-position model. The record is from RNAcentral. Lineage: Bacteria; Pseudomonadati; Pseudomonadota; Gammaproteobacteria; Legionellales; Legionellaceae.
UACGGAGGGUGCGAGCGUUAAUCGGAAUUACUGGGCGUAAAGGGUGCGUAGGUUGUAUAUUAAGUUAUCUGUGAAAUACCUGGGCUUAACCUGGGAGAGUCAGAUGAUACUGGUAUACUAGAGUAUGGGAGAGGGCAGUGGAAUUUCCGGUGUAGCGGUGAAAUGCGUAGAUAUCGGAAGGAACACCAGUGGCGAAGGCGGCUGUCUGGCCUAAUACUGACACUGAGGCACGAAAGCGUGGGUAGCAAACAGG